This 1666-nucleotide ribosomal RNA is filed under the name Parmaturus melanobranchus. RNAcentral describes it as "16S ribosomal RNA". It matches the Rfam family "Bacterial large subunit ribosomal RNA", at positions 371 to 2831 of the family's 2925-position model. The record is from RNAcentral. Lineage: Eukaryota; Metazoa; Chordata; Chondrichthyes; Carcharhiniformes; Scyliorhinidae.
ACCUUAAAGCUAGCCUAAUUACUUAUUUAACUAGUCCUUAUUAAUCUAAUUAAUACCAAAAUCCUUAACUAAAACAUUUUCUAACCUUUAGUAUGGGCGACAGAACAAAAACUCAGCGCAAUAACUUAUGUACCGCAAGGGAAGGCUGAAAAAGAAAUGAAAUAAAUAAUUAAAGUACUAAAAAGCAGAGAUUACUUCUCGUACCUUUUGCAUCAUGAUUUAACUAGUAAAACUAGGCAAAGAGACCUUAAGUCUACCCUCCCGAAACUAAACGAGCUACUCCGAAGCAGCAUAAUAGAGCCAACCCGUCUCUGUGGCAAAAGAGUGGGAAGACUUCCGAGUAGUAGUGAAAAGCCUACCGAGUUUAGUGAUAGCUGGUUACCCAAGAAAAGAACUUAAAUUCUGCAUUAAUUUUUUAUAAUUAAAUAAGAUUUACUCAACAAAGUAAGAUAUAAGAAUUAAUAGUUAUUUAGAAGAGGUACAGCCCUUCUAAAUUAAGAUACAACUUUCUAAGGUGGGAAACGAUCAAUUACUAAGGUAUUUAUCCUCAGUGGGCCUAAAAGCAGCCACCUGUCAAGUAAGCGUCACAGCUCCAGUACUAUAAAAACCUAUAAUUUAAUUAUAUAUUCACAACCCCCUAAUUCCUAUUGGGUUAUUUUAUAAAAUUAUAAAAGAACCUAUGCUAAAAUGAGUAAUAAAGAGGAUAAACCUCUCCCGACACAAGUGUAUAUCAGAAAGAAUUAAAUCACUGAUAAUUAAACGAACCCAAAUUGAGGUCAUUGUACUUUAAAAUAUUAAACCAGAAAACCCUAUUUUAUUAUUCGUUAACCCUACACAGGACUGUCCCAAGGAAAGAUUAAAAGAAAGUAAAGGAACUCGGCAAACACAAACUCCGCCUGUUUACCAAAAACACCGCCUCUUGGCGUUUUAUAAGAGGUCCCGCCUGCCCUGUGACAAUGUUCAACGGCCGCGGUAUUUUGACCGUGCAAAGGUAGCGUAAUCACUUGUCUUUUAAAUAAAGACCCGUAUGAAAGGCACCACGAGAGUUUAACUGUCUCUAUUUUCUAAUCAAUGAAAUUGAUCUAUCCGUGCAGAAGCGGAUAUUUUAACAUAAGACGAGAAGACCCUAUGGAGCUUAAAACACUUAGAUUAAUUAUGUAAUUCUUUACCUCUCAGGAUUUAAACAAAAAAUAUAAUUCUCCUAAUUUAACUGUUUUUGGUUGGGGUGACCAAGGGGAAAAAGAAAUCCCCCCUAUCGACCGAGUACUCGGUACUUAAAGAUUAAAGUGACAACUUUAAUUAAUAAAAUAUUUAUCGAAAAAUGACCCAGGAUUUCCUGAUCAAUGAACCAAGUUACCCUAGGGAUAACAGCGCAAUCCUUUCCUAGAGUUCCUAUCGACGAAAGGGUUUACGACCUCGAUGUUGGAUCAGGACAUCCUAAUGGUGUAACCGCUAUUAAGGGUUCGUUUGUUCAACGAUUAAUAGUCCUACGUGAUCUGAGUUCAGACCGGAGAAAUCCAGGUCAGUUUCUAUCUAUGAGUUUACUUUUCCUAGUACGAAAGGACCGGAAAAGUGGGGCCAAUGCCAUUGGCACGCCCCAUUUUCAUCUAUUGAAUUAAACUCAAAUAGAUAAGAAAAGAUCACCGAUGGCCCAAGAAAUGGGUUG